GACGAAGGUGGCGAGCGUUGUUCGGAAUCACUGGGCUUAAAGAGCACGUAGGUGGCCCGUUAAGCGCUUUGUGAAAUCCCCCGGCCUAACCGGGGAAUCGCUUGGCGUACUGGCGGGCUUGAGGCAGGUAUGGGUGCGUGGAACUCUUGGUGGAGCGGUGAAAUGCGUAGAUAUCAAGAGGAACGCCGGAGGCGCAAGCGAUGCACUGGGCCUGUCCUGACACUGAGGUGCGAAAGCCAGGGGAG
RNAcentral lists this ribosomal RNA (245 nucleotides) under uncultured bacterium. Its description in RNAcentral is "partial 16S ribosomal RNA". It matches the Rfam family "Bacterial small subunit ribosomal RNA", at positions 524 to 768 of the family's 1533-position model. The record is from RNAcentral.